AAAAACUAUAAACAGUUGGCAUUUAGUACGAAGAUUUUGUCUCGUGUUGGAGUUAGUGUCGAGGUUUUGCACUUCUAUAAAAAUGUGAAAAAUAAAACUAUAUGAUCCUUCUCUCCUCUCUCUAACAAGCAGAAAGAUUUUUAUGAUAACAAAUACCAAUUGUUUAAACAUCCAAGUGCGCCGUCAGUGUCACUCUCUCUCCAUCCAAUUUGCCAAACAACAACUGAGCUGAAACGUGUUUUUUUUUUUUUUAAGAAAAACAAAUAUGAUUAUGUAUGCACAUACAGAAACCAUUGACUUUUGAUGAAUUUUUCUCCUUUCUUAGAUUCCUUGUGUAGCUUAGGACUUUCAACACUGAAAAAUGAAGCUGAGUCCCAGAGAGAUCGAGAAACUAGGCCUGCACAAUGCUGGUUAUCUUGCCCAGAAACGUCUUGCUCGUGGUUUAAGACUCAAUUAUGCUGAAACUGUUGCUCUCAUAGCAACUCAGAUUUUGGAGUUUGUACGUGAUGGUGAAAAGACUGUUGCAGAGCUAAUGUGCAUUGGUAGAGAGCUUUUGGGAAGGAGACAAGUUCUUCCAGCUGUUCCACAUCUCUUAGAAACUGUUCAGGUUGAAGCCACCUUUCGUGAUGGGACGAAGUUAGUCACCAUUCAUGACCCAAUUGCUUGUGAGAAUGGAAACCUUGAACAUGCUUUAUUUGGUUCUUUUCUUCCAGUACCUUCACUUGACAAGUUCACUGAGAACGGAGAAGAUCAUAGAAUUCCGGGGGAAAUAAUAUUUGGAGAUGGAUGUCUGACUCUUAACCCUGGAAGGAAGGCAAUAAUUCUCACAGUUGUGAACAAAGGAGACAGGCCAAUUCAGGUUGGCAGCCACUAUCAUUUUAUAGAAGUAAAUCCUUACUUAAUCUUUGAUAGAAGGAAAGCAUAUGGCAUGCGCCUCAAUAUAGCUUCUGGGACUGCCACACGUUUUGAGCCAGGGGAAUGUAAAAGUGUUAAACUUGUAAGCAUUGGAGGUAACAAAGUCAUCAGAGGAGGUAACAACAUUGCUGAUGGUCCAGUUAGUGAUUCCAACUGCAUAGCAGCCAUGGAGGCAGUGAGGACAAGGGGAUUUGGACAUGUGGAAGAGGAAAAUGCUAGGGAAGGUGUUACUGGAGAAGACUGUUUAUUUACUAAAGUAAUUUCUAGAGAGGAAUAUGCUAAUAAGUAUGGACCUACUACUGGUGAUAAAAUCCGUCUUGGUGACACUGACUUAUUUGCUGAAAUUGAAAAUGAUUAUGCUGUCUAUGGUGAUGAAUGUGUUUUUGGAGGUGGGAAAGUCAUAAGAGAUGGAAUGGGUCAGUCAUGCAGCCAUCCACCUGCCCUCUCCUUGGAUACUGUUAUAACAAAUGCUGUGAUCAUUGAUUACACUAGAAUUAUCAAAGCAGAUAUUGGUAUUAAAGAUGGCCUCAUUAUCUCGAUUGGAAAAGCGGGAAAUCCAGAUGUUAUGGAUAGAGUAUUUACUAAUAUGAUUAUUGGUGCUAAUACUGAAGUUAUUGCUGGAGAGGGCUUGAUUGUGACAGCUGGGGCUAUAGAUUGUCAUGUUCAUUUUAUAUGCCCUCAAUUAGUAUAUGAAGCUGUAACAAGUGGCAUCACAACAUUAGUGGGAGGAGGAACAGGACCUGCUGAGGGAACACGUGCAACAACUUGUACACCAGCCCCAGUUCAGAUGAAACUGAUGUUGCAAUCAACAGAUGACAUGCCUCUAAACUUUGGUUUUACUGGAAAAGGGAAUUGUGCCAAACCUGAUGAACUGCAUGAAAUAAUCAGGGCUGGAGCUAUGGGACUGAAGCUGCAUGAGGACUGGGGAUCUACCCCAGCAGCAAUAGACAGUUGCUUGACUGUUGCAGAACAACAUGAUAUCCAGGUUAAUAUACAUACUGACACCUUAAAUGAAUCUGGAUUUGUGGAACAUACAAUUGAUGCAUUUAAAGGAAGAACCAUUCAUACUUACCACAGUGAAGGUGCAGGUGGUGGCCAUGCUCCAGAUAUCAUCAAAGUAUGUGGUGUGAAGAAUGUCUUGCCCUCAUCAACCAAUUCCACACGCCCUUAUACGUCUAAUACCAUAGAUGAGCAUCUUGACAUGUUGAUGGUAUGCCAUCAUCUUGAUAGGAAUAUUCCAGAAGAUUUAGCUUUUGCAGCAUCAAGGAUCAGAGCUGAAACAAUUGCUGCUGAAGAUAUUUUGCAUGACAUGGGUGCAAUUAGCAUUAUAUCUUCUGAUUCACAGGCUAUGGGUCGAAUUGGAGAGGUGAUAAGCAGAACCUGGCAAACUGCCAACAAGAUGAAGUUGCAAAGAGGACCACUGAAGCCUGGUGAAGUGAAUGACAACUUUCGGAUCAAACGUUAUGUUGCGAAGUACACUAUAAACCCGGCUAUAGCAAAUGGUUUUUCACAAUAUGUUGGUUCAGUCGAGGUAUGAUGUGGGAAAGUUAGCUGAUCUGGUAUUAUGGAAGCCGUCAUUUUUUGGAGCAAAACCAGAAAUGGUGAUCAAAGGUGGUGAGGUUGCAUGGGCUAACAUGGGUGACCCCAAUGCAAGCAUCCCAACCCCUGAACCGGUGAUCAUGAGGCCUAUGUUUGGAGCAUUUGGCAAGGCUGGUAGUGCACACUCCAUCACUUUUGUGAGCAAGGUUGCUUUGGAUGGUGGGGUGAAAGCUUCUUACGAACUUAACAAGAGGGUGGAAGCAGUGGAGAGUGUGAGGAAGCUGAGCAAACUAGACAUGAAACUCAAUGACACACUUCCAAAUAUCACUGUGGACCCAGAAACAUACAUAGUUACAGCUGAUGGAGAGGUUCUUACAUGCACCGCAGCCACUACCGUUCCACUUUCUCGAAAUUAUUUCAUCUUUUAAGAUCAAACUACGUGUCCCAUAUUACGUCGCAUGACCAUUCUAUAUAUCAAGUUUGUAGGUCCCCAUUAGGUAUUAGCACCGUAGCAAGUUUACUUGCCACUUUGCCAGGUUAUAUCUGAUAAGAUCAAAGUUAUGCUAUUAUUAUUUUGUG
Molecule: RNA transcript, 3033 nt
Organism: Abrus precatorius (Indian licorice)
Lineage: Eukaryota; Viridiplantae; Streptophyta; Magnoliopsida; Fabales; Fabaceae
Gene name: urease-like
Exons: 18
Source: RefSeq, a predicted model, not a curated record